RNAcentral lists this ribosomal RNA (795 nucleotides) under uncultured bacterium. Its description in RNAcentral is "bacterial SSU rRNA". It matches the Rfam family "Bacterial small subunit ribosomal RNA", at positions 8 to 796 of the family's 1533-position model. The record is from RNAcentral.
AGAGUUUGAUCCUGGCUCAGAUUGAACGCUGGCGGCAUGCUUUACACAUGCAAGUCGAACGGCAGCACGAGUGCUUGCACUUGGUGGCGAGUGGCGAACGGGUGAGUAAUACAUCGGAACGUGUCCUAAAGUGGGGGAUAACGCAUCGAAAGAUGUGCUAAUACCGCAUAUACUCUGAGGAGGAAAGUAGGGGAUCGAAAGACCUUAUGCUUUUGGAGCGGCCGAUGUCUGAUUAGCUAGUUGGUGAGGUAAAGGCUUACCAAGGCGACGAUCAGUAGUUGGUCUGAGAGGACGACCAGCCACACUGGGACUGAGACACGGCCCAGACUCCUACGGGAGGCAGCAGUGGGGAAUUUUGGACAAUGGGCGCAAGCCUGAUCCAGCAAUGCCGUGUGAGUGAAGAAGGCCUUCGGGUUGUAAAGCUCUUUCAGUCGAGAAGAAAAGGUUGUGAUUAAUACUCACAAUCCAUGACGGUAUCGACAGAAGAAGCACCGGCUAACUACGUGCCCGCAGCCGCGGUAAUACGUAGGGUGCGAGCGUUAAUCGGAAUUACUGGGCGUAAAGGGUGCGCAGGCGGCUUUGUAAGUCAGAUGUGAAAUCCCCGGGCUUAACCUGGGAAUUGCGUUUGAAACUACAGGGCUAGAGUGUAGCAGAGGGGGGUGGAAUUCCAUGUGUAGCAGUGAAAUGCGUAGAGAUAUGGAAGAACAUCGAUGGCGAAGGCAGCCCCCUGGGUUAACACUGACGCUCAGGCACGAAAGCGUGGGGAGCAAACAGGAUUAGAUACCCUAGUAGUCC